RNAcentral lists this ribosomal RNA (253 nucleotides) under uncultured bacterium. Its description in RNAcentral is "partial 16S ribosomal RNA". It matches the Rfam family "Bacterial small subunit ribosomal RNA", at positions 524 to 776 of the family's 1533-position model. The record is from RNAcentral.
UACAGAGGUCCCAAGCGUUGUUCGGAUUCACUGGGCGUAAAGGGUGCGCAGGUGGGUUUGCAAGUUUGAUGUGAAAGCCCCGGGCUUAACCCGGGAAUGGCAUUGAAUACUGCAGAUCUGGAGGAUUGGAGGGGGGACUGGAAUUCUUGGUGUAGCAGUGAAAUGCGUAGAUAUCAAGAGGAACACCAGUGGCGAAGGCGAGUCCCUGGACAAUACCUGACACUGAGGCACGAAAGCUAGGGGAGCAAACAGG